This 324-nucleotide ribosomal RNA is filed under the name uncultured bacterium. RNAcentral's name for it is "bacterial SSU rRNA". It matches the Rfam family "Bacterial small subunit ribosomal RNA", at positions 28 to 334 of the family's 1533-position model. The record is from RNAcentral.
GACGAACGCUGGCGGCGUGCUUAACACAUGCAAGUCGAACGGAGCACCUUUGAAAGAGACUUCGGUCAAUGGAUGAGACUGCUUAGUGGCGGACGGGUGAGUAACGCGUGAGGAACCUGCCUUUCAGAGGGGGACAACAGUUGGAAACGACUGCUAAUACCGCAUGAUGCAUGAUCAGGGCAUCCUGGACAUGCCAAAGAUUUAUCGCUGAAAGAUGGCCUCGCGUCUGAUUAGCUAGUUGGUGAGGUAACGGCCCACCAAGGCAACGAUCGGUAGCCGGACUGAGAGGUUGAUCAGCCACAUUGGGACUGAGACACGGCCCAG